RNAcentral lists this transfer RNA (68 nucleotides) under Heterocephalus glaber (naked mole-rat). It matches the Rfam family "tRNA". Rfam says of the family: Transfer RNA (tRNA) molecules are approximately 80 nucleotides in length. The record is from Rfam by way of RNAcentral. Lineage: Eukaryota; Metazoa; Chordata; Mammalia; Rodentia; Bathyergidae.
GGGGGUAUAGGUCAGUGGUAGAGUAUUCAGCAUGCACAAAGUCCUGGGUUCAAUCCCCAGUACUACCA